GAUGAACGCUGGCGGCGUGCCUAAUACAUGCAAGUCGAGCGAACAGACGAGGAGUUUGCUCCUCUGACGUUAGCGGCGGACGGGUGAGUAACACGUGGAUAACCUACCUAUAAGACUGGGAUAACUUCGGGAAACCGGAUCUAAUACCGUAUAAUAUAUUGAACCGCAUGGUUCAAUAGUGAAAUACGGUUUUUCUGUCACUUAUAGAUGGAUCCGCGCCGCAUUAGCUAGUUGGUAAGGUAACGGCUUACCAAGGCAACGAUGCGUAGCCGAACUGAGAGGGUGAUAGGCCACCUUGGAACUGAGACAGGGUCAAGACUCCUAAGGGAGGCAGCAGUAGGGAAUCUUACGCAAUGGGCGAAAGCAUGACGGAGCAACGCCGAGUGAGUGAUGAAGGUCUUCGGAUCGUAAAAAUCUGUUAUUAGGGAAGAACAAAUGUGUAAGUAACUAUGCACGUCUUGACGGUAACUAAUAAGAAAGCAACGGCUAACUACGUG
This 497-nucleotide ribosomal RNA is filed under the name uncultured bacterium. RNAcentral describes it as "partial 16S ribosomal RNA". It matches the Rfam family "Bacterial small subunit ribosomal RNA", at positions 28 to 507 of the family's 1533-position model. The record is from RNAcentral.